CAACAACAGACUCGGUGAAAUUGUAAUUCCGGUGAAGAUGCCGGAUACCUGCGACAGGACGGAAAGUCCCCUUGGAGCUUUACUGUAGCUUGACAUUGGGUCUUGGUACUACAUGUACAGGAUAGGUGGGAGGUUUUGAAACCAGGACGCCAGUUUUGGCGGAGCCAUCCUUGGGAUACCACCCUUGUAGUACUGGGACUCUAACCAUAGGCCAUGAAUCUGGUCUUGGGACACUGUCAGGUGGGCAGUUUGACUGGGGCGGUCGCCUCCCAAAAGGUAACGGAGGCGCUCAAAGGUUCUCGCAGUACGGUCGGAAAUCGUACGUAGAGUGUAAAGGCAAAAGAGAGCUUGAUUGCAAGACAUACAGGUCGAGCAAGGAUGAAAAUCGGACUUAGUGAUCCGGUGGUUCUGCGUGGAAGGGCCAUCGCUCAACGGAUAAA
Molecule: ribosomal RNA, 440 nt
Filed under: Clostridioides difficile
Lineage: Bacteria; Bacillati; Bacillota; Clostridia; Peptostreptococcales; Peptostreptococcaceae
Description: partial 23S ribosomal RNA
Rfam family: Bacterial large subunit ribosomal RNA
Source: RNAcentral